UACGUAGGGUGCAAGCGUUGUCCGGAAUUAUUGGGCGUAAAGAGCUCGUAGGCGGCCUGUCGCGUCGGCUGUGAAAACCCGAGGCUCAACCUCGGGCCUGCAGUCGAUACGGGCAGGCUAGAGUUCGGUAGGGGAGACUGGAAUUCCUGGUGUAGCGGUGAAAUGCGCAGAUAUCGGGAAGAACACCCGUGGCGAAGGCGGCUCUCUGGGACGGUACUGACGCUGAGACGCGAAAGCGUGGGGAGCGAACAGG
This 253-nucleotide ribosomal RNA is filed under the name uncultured bacterium. RNAcentral describes it as "partial 16S ribosomal RNA". It matches the Rfam family "Bacterial small subunit ribosomal RNA", at positions 524 to 776 of the family's 1533-position model. The record is from RNAcentral.